Molecule: small RNA, 102 nt
Filed under: bovine gut metagenome
Also listed under: 1 other name
Description: RT-5 RNA
Rfam family: RT-5 RNA
About the family: Clostridium (Firmicutes). Environment (Cow rumen (57))
Source: RNAcentral
UGCGCCUGCUGAGGGCAAGGCACCGAGCAUUGAUUGGCUUCGCAGGCAGCCGCUUUGUGCAAGGUCCGGUAGAUACCUGAAUUUCAGGUAUUUGAUGAUUUC